UGGGGAAUAUUGCACAAUGGGCGGAAGCCUGAUGCAGCGACGCCGCGUGAGGGAUGACGGCCUUCGGGUUGUAAACCUCUUUCGCUAGGGAAGAAGCCUUCGGGUGACGGUACCUGGAUAAGAAGCACCGGCUAACUACGUGCCAGCAGCCGCGGUAAUACGUAGGGUGCAAGCGUUGUCCGGAAUUACUGGGCGUAAAGAGCUCGUAGGUGGUUUGUCGCGUCGUCUGUGAAAUUCCGGGGCUUAACUCCGGGCGUGCAGGCGAUACGGGCAAACUGGAGUGCUGUAGGGGAGACUGGAAUUCCUGGUGUAGCGGUGGAAUGCGCAGAUAUCAGGAGGAACACCGAUGGCGAAGGCAGGUCUCUGGGCAGUUACUGACACUGAGGGAGCAGAAGCAUGGGUAGCGAACAGGAUUAGAUACC
RNAcentral lists this ribosomal RNA (422 nucleotides) under uncultured bacterium. RNAcentral describes it as "bacterial SSU rRNA". It matches the Rfam family "Bacterial small subunit ribosomal RNA", at positions 355 to 786 of the family's 1533-position model. The record is from RNAcentral.